UGAGGCGUGGCUUCCGGAGCUAACGCGUUAAGUCGACCGCCUGGGGAGUACGGCCGCAAGGUUAAAACUCAAAUGAAUUGACGGGGGCCCGCACAAGCGGUGGAGCAUGUGGUUUAAUUCGAUGCAACGCGAAGAACCUUACCUACUCUUGACAUCCAGAGAACUUUCCAGAGAUGGAUUGGUGCCUUCGGGAACUCUGAGACAGGUGCUGCAUGGCUGUCGUCAGCUCGUGUUGUGAAAUGUUGGGUUAAGUCCCGCAACGAGCGCAACCCUUAUCCUUUGUUGCCAGCGGUUAGGCCGGGAACUCAAAGGAGACUGCCAGUGAUAAACUGGAGGAAGGUGGGGAUGACGUCAAGUCAUCAUGGCCCUUACGAGUAGGGCUACACACGUGCUACAAUGGCGCAUACAAAGAGAAGCGACCUCGCGAGAGCAAGCGGACCUCAUAAAGUGCGUCGUAGUCCGGAUUGGAGUCUGCAACUCGACUCCAUGAAGUCGGAAUCGCUAGUAAUCGUAGAUCAGAAUGCUACGGUGAAUACGUUCCCGGGCCUUGUACACACCGCCCGUCACACCAUGGGAGUGGGUUGCAAAAGAAGUAGGUAGCUUAACCUUCGGGAGGGCGCUUACCACUUUGUGAUUCAUGACUGGGGUGAAGUCGUAACAAGGUAACCAAGGGCGAAUUCCAG
This 683-nucleotide ribosomal RNA is filed under the name uncultured Serratia sp. RNAcentral describes it as "bacterial SSU rRNA". It matches the Rfam family "Bacterial small subunit ribosomal RNA", at positions 833 to 1516 of the family's 1533-position model. Lineage: Bacteria; Pseudomonadati; Pseudomonadota; Gammaproteobacteria; Enterobacterales; Yersiniaceae. The record is from RNAcentral.